This 438-nucleotide ribosomal RNA is filed under the name uncultured bacterium. RNAcentral's name for it is "bacterial SSU rRNA". It matches the Rfam family "Bacterial small subunit ribosomal RNA", at positions 338 to 790 of the family's 1533-position model. The record is from RNAcentral.
CCUACGGGGGGCAGCAGUGGGGGAUAUUGCACAAUGGGGGAAACCCUGAUGCAGCGACGCCGCGUGAGUGAAGAAGUAUUUCGGUAUGUAAAGCUCUAUCGGCAGGGAAGAAAAAAAUGACAGUACCUGACUAAGAAGCCCCGGCUAACUACGUGCCAGCAGCCGCGGUAAUACGUAGGGGGCAAGCGUUAUCCGGAUUUACUGGGUGUAAAGGGAGCGCAGACGGCAGGGCAAGUCUGAUGUGAAAGUCCGGGGCUCAACCCCGGGACUGCAUUGGAAACUGUCCGGCUAGAGUGCAGGAGAGGUAAGUGGAAUUCCUAGUGUAGCGGUGAAAUGCGUAGAUAUUAGGAGGAACACCAGUGGCGAAGGCGGCUUACUGGACUGUAACUGACGUUGAGGCUCGAAAGCGUGGGGAGCAAACAGGAUUAGAUACCCCAG